UGGGGAAUAUUGGGCAAUGGGCGAAAGCCUGACCCAGCAACGCCGCGUGAAGGAAGAAGGCUUUCGGGUUGUAAACUUCUUUUAUGUGGGACGAAAAAAAUGACGGUACCACAUGAAUAAGCCACGGCUAACUACGUGCCAGCAGCCGCGGUAAUACGUAGGUGGCAAGCGUUGUCCGGAUUUACUGGGAGUACAGGGCGCGUAGGCGGGAAUGCAAGUCAGAGGUGAAAUCCAUGGGCUCAACACAUGAACUGCAUUUGAAACGACAUUUCUGGAGUGAUGGAGAGGCAAGUGGAAUUCCGAGUGUAGCGGUGAAAUGCGUAGAUAUGAGGAGGAACACCAGUGGCGAAGGCGACUUGCUGGACAUUAACUGACGCUGAGGCGCGAAAGCGUGGGGAGCAAACA
RNAcentral lists this ribosomal RNA (405 nucleotides) under uncultured prokaryote. Its description in RNAcentral is "bacterial SSU rRNA". It matches the Rfam family "Bacterial small subunit ribosomal RNA", at positions 355 to 774 of the family's 1533-position model. The record is from RNAcentral.